CAUUACCCUUUCCACUUACCCGACCAGCCCACUUAUUUAAUUACCCGAUCCAGCCCACUGCAACACCUAACAGACCAGCCCAACAAUUCAACUCCUCAGCCCACGACCCGCCAACCCGAUCCGACCCAUUCCAUAACAAAAGAUGAAACCAGUAGGGUUUCAUUCUUUCCCCUUCACGCCGCACUUCAUCUCUUUCUCCUUCACUCUCCACGAUCAGUUCCUCCCUCUCUCAUCCCUAUUCAGCAAAAACGCAGUCCCCUUUCAACAUCAUAGAAUUUGGACACUCCAUUUUCGUGCAAUACGCACAGCUCCGGACCCCUUCUCUCUUCUUUCUCUUUCCCUCCGCUCUCUUUCUCGUCGUCUUCCUCCAUUUCUAGCAAAGACACAGCUUCCCUUUAGCCUUGGCAGAUAUUUGCCGCCCCUUUUUCGUGCUAGUAGCUAUGGUCAACACAAGAGACCAAGCUGUUGUUUUUGAAAUCUGAUUUUAUACAGAGAAAAACGAGAAGCAUUUCAACCCGUGACCCUACAUUCAAACGGCUAUCUCACUUUCAAAAUCCCGCCCAAAUCGAAACCCUAGACUUAAUUUUUACACCUAUAAAAUGACUGAGUUUUCAGCCGAAGGGGGGAUUUUUUUUUUUUUUUUUAAACACGGGAUUGGGGAUUGAACACUGAUUUGAGGUUUUUUUUUAGCAACGAGAAUUCUCUGAAAAUACCAAAAAAUAGUCUUGAGUUUUCCUUUUUUUUUUUUUUCAAUCUGGUUUUGAACUUUAAAAAUAUGAAAACAUUUUUGUUGAAAUACGAGAAUCGUGACGAAAGAUUAAAUGCUUGAUGAUUCAUUAACUUUCGUCGCUGUUAGGCAAAAGCAUUUCAAUUACGACAGAGGCACUUUAAUUUUGACUCGAGUGUCGAAUCUGUCAAUACGAGAGUAGAUUCGAGGCUUUGACGUCCCACUUCACUGCACCACGAACAGAUCGUGAUUCAAAAAAGCAUGUUUGCAUUUCUUAUUUCGUGUAGCUGCUGUAGCCGAUGAAUGGCCUAAUUUAAUCCUGAUGUCUGAUUUAUGUGCAAAGAUGAAAGGUACGCCGAUAGUUUUCCAUGAACUUGAAAUCAGAAUAGUGUGUAUGAUCAGCGUCGUCCAAUUUGUUAAAAUGUGUUCAAGCUGUUUGAUAAUGAGUUAAAACUGUUCCUAUAUGUCUCUAGGUUUAAGCUAAGCUCUCUAAGUUCCUCUUAUAUGAUUUUAAUUUUUGUGUACCUUUGAACGACUAAAGAUGAAACUCAGUUAUGAGAGAUUUUUUAAAAACUUGUUUAAACUGUGUGGUAAUAUUAACCCCUUCAUCUUGUCGGAUCAGACCAUGGGAUAAGUUUUAUAAAACUGAAAAGAGGAAUAAAUAGACAGCCUUUGUUGUUGUGGAUGAGCUUUUGAAGUUUGAAACAUGAUUUAUUCUGGUUACUGAGCAGUUGAAAUAGUUUACAUAUAGCAUUAUGAGAUGAACAUGUUCGACAUACACUUUGCUUCCCUUUUAUCAGAAAAACCGAAACAUAUCCUUACCUUCAUUUCAUAUAUCUGAAUCCUCGUGUGUUGGUUUUGACUCUAUUUGGUUUGAGUUUGAGUGAAGGAUUGAUUUCAUGCUCACCUGCCUUCUCAAAGAAGAAGAGACAUAGCAUUCAAGCUUGCCAAUUAGCCGUUAGCUACUCUUUUCUUUAAGUUUAAUUUCCACUCUGUACAGCCAACUGUUAUUGCAAUCUCUAAUUCUCGCUCUUGUUCAUUAUCGUUGUGGAACAUUUUAAAUGACAUAAUCGGCUAUUUAUUCUCAUGCAGAAGGUUGAAACAUUAUAGUAGUCAAAUUUUAACUUAAAAUAUUUAAGGACGGGGGAAUAUCAGGAACACAUCUUAGGUUAUGAAGGCAGGAUUUAGUUGGUUCCUCCAUGAAAAUUUGUGGUCCAGGAUAGACCUCAAAGCCGUAAAGAUGCUUAUGCGAUGAAAUGAAGUAGACGUGUACUUAGUUUGGUCUUAUGGGUUUCUGUUUCACUGCAAGUAUAUGAUUGUAGAAAAUAUAUGAAAUCCAUCUUUCCUUGGCCACAUGAUAAAUUUUACUUGGAAGUGAAGAGAUGCUUAAAUAUUUUACUCGUCGAGAAUUAAAUUUCCCUUUACUAAUUCCUUCAUUUUUUUCUUUGUUUACAUGUACACUUUGGGAGCAAAUGGAGUCUUUGUAAAAGACUCUCACUGUCCAAGCAAGUCUCGCCGUGAGACGUUGACGACAUCGACUACUACUGCAUUCCAUCUCGUGUUCAAACCCAUGUCCAUAUCACAACUUAACAGCCACAAUUCUUGAUUUCAGGAGGCCUAUACAAAUGGCUUCUUAUCUUUCUGUUUUAGCCUUUUAAUUAUUUAUUGGCCUUAUCCAAACUUGUUGUGUUAAAUAGUUUAGUUGAUCCACUCUGCUCACAUAGUAUCAUAUUUAAGGUUAAAAUGUAGUUUAUGUAGCUGAACCAGUUAGAGGAGUUAACUAUAUCAGCGAUUCAAUAUAAUACAUACUUGUUUUA
Molecule: long non-coding RNA, 2544 nt
Organism: Lycium barbarum (goji berry)
Lineage: Eukaryota; Viridiplantae; Streptophyta; Magnoliopsida; Solanales; Solanaceae
Exons: 2
Source: RefSeq, a predicted model, not a curated record